RNAcentral lists this ribosomal RNA (253 nucleotides) under uncultured bacterium. Its description in RNAcentral is "partial 16S ribosomal RNA". It matches the Rfam family "Bacterial small subunit ribosomal RNA", at positions 524 to 776 of the family's 1533-position model. The record is from RNAcentral.
UACGUAGGGGGCAAGCGUUGUCCGGAAUGAUUGGGCGUAAAGGGCUCGUAGGUGGCAUGUCAAGUCUGAAGUGAAAGUCCUACUUUUAAGGUGGGAAUUGCUUUGGAAACUGGCAAGCUUGAGUAUAGGAGAGGUUAGUGGAAUUCCUAGUGUAGCGGUGAAAUGCGUAGAGAUUAGGAGGAACAUCAGUGGCGAAGGCGACUAACUGGACUAAAACUGACACUGAGGAGCGAAAGUGUGGGUAGCAAACAGG